This 396-nucleotide long non-coding RNA is filed under the name Gossypium raimondii (Peruvian cotton). RNAcentral describes it as "long non-coding RNA (GRAI_LNC007970)". Lineage: Eukaryota; Viridiplantae; Streptophyta; Magnoliopsida; Malvales; Malvaceae. The record is from RNAcentral.
UUAAGAACCAACGCCACCUCCUUUGCUGCCUCGGGGCUGGCCUUGCUGCAAAAAGACUCGAUAGAAUUGAGGAGCACCAACUGAGAUCGCUCUUCUUUGAUUGCUGCUACUGCUGCUGCAAUGUAGUUCUUCUUUUUGGUUACUUCUUUUGCAAACCCUUUCCCAACAUCAUUGAAGAGUGCUAUAAAUUGAGCAUCCAUGACUUCUUUGGAGGUUCCAGUGAGUGAACCUAGGAAGGAUUUAAGCUGAUUUGGAGACGAUCCCUUCUUGAAGUAUUCCUUUAUCUCAUCAACAAGUUUGUCAUGAGCACCAACACCAUUCUCAUGAACCUUGGUCUCAGGCUCAGGAGACUUCUUAACCGACUUUUUCUUCUCUUCGUCGGUAGAAAGCAUCACC